UACGAAGGGGGCUAGCGUUGCUCGGAAUCACUGGGCGUAAAGGGUGCGUAGGCGGGUCUUUUAAGUCAGGGGUGAAAUCCUGGAGCUCAACUCCAGAACUGCCUUUGAUACUGAAGAUCUUGAGUUCGGGAGAGGUGAGUGGAACUGCGAGUGUAGAGGUGAAAUUCGUAGAUAUUCGCAAGAACACCAGUGGCGAAGGCGGCUCACUGGCCUGUACUGACGCUGAG
This 227-nucleotide ribosomal RNA is filed under the name uncultured bacterium. RNAcentral's name for it is "partial 16S ribosomal RNA". It matches the Rfam family "Bacterial small subunit ribosomal RNA", at positions 524 to 750 of the family's 1533-position model. The record is from RNAcentral.